AUGCAGCAGGGGGGCUCCAGCGCGGUGGUGGUAGCUGUAGUGGUGUGUGUUCUGCUGCUCCUGCUGCUGGUGGGCCUCAUCUACUGCCUGAACAAGAGGACCAAGCUGCCGUGCAGCAAGAAGGAUAAGAAGGACAUGGCCUUGGGAGACGUGAACAACGACAUUGUGGUCGAGAUGAAGACGGGCAAGACCGAGCAGGAUGGUCUUCUCCACAAAAAAGCAGCAGAAAAGUGAUGGAACCACAUCAAAGAACGCGGAGGGAUGAAGGGAAGAUGGCAGAAAACAAAAAGACAAGGGGCCUCUUUUUUAAUUACGUAAAACUGGUGUAAAUAAUUUGUUUUACUUUGGUGACUUUAAGGUACUUACAAUUCUCACUUUUAGUAAAGCUUGCUGUUUUGCCUAGAUUAGAGCCAGCUGAGUGGAAUUUCAGAUUCAGCUCCACUAAUCUGGUGCUAUAACAGGUAUCGCGCAAAGUCAAUCAAUUUCACAAACCACCUCUUGAGUAGACUCCACCGCAGAGUAGAUCUAGACAGUGAGGCGCAACUGACCAAAAAUUCUGACACAGUGGCUGAACUGGAAUCUGAAAUCCAUCUGACAUGGUUUCAGCAAUUUAAAGAUUUUCUUAAAAGUGUGUCUGAAAAUUCUCGUAUGGAGUCUGCACUUAAAUUCUUUCUUGUCUUUGGGGAUUACGGGAAACUCUUAUGGGCUUCAGUUCAGUUUGAUUCACCUCACACAUAUUUAGUCCUUUAAGUACAUUGUAUGGCAGUUACAAUGUUCAGAGUUACUCUUUUCUGUAUUGUGGUUUAUUUGAAUGCAUUUUUGCAACCUGAGAAUGUUUUUUUAUGAAUAUUUCUUGGUUUUUGUUAUUCUAAAUUGAGUUGCAUCCUGGGUUUAAUGGCAACAGUUCUUUUUGCUUUACUUUUUGAACCCCGCACAAAACCCUCAUCGUUCCCUAAAAUGCUCGGUUUCUCUUUUUAUUCUGCUUAAUGUUUUCUCUGUGUAUUAAAGUGUAUGUUGAUUUGGCCGUUUGGGAGGUGUGUGGAAAAUAGCAAUACCAUAAUUUUUAGGAGCAUCUGCUAGUUUGCCUAAAAAGUGAGAAACAUCUCUUACAGCCUUAUAAGAAACCUGCUUUCACUGUAAAAACUUUUAGCGAGCUACAGAAGAACCUGACAGUGUCAGACUGCACCCUGCCAAAGUUGUUAUUUUUUUUUUAAAUUGGGCUUUUAAAGAAAAAGAUUCACCUGCUAAGAAGAGCAGGAGGAGGAGGAGGGGAGCAUUCAAAAGAUGGAGUUUGUGCUGGAAUAGUAAGAUGUCUUUUUUUUUUUAUAAUCGUCUGCAAAAGCUAAGAGUGUUUUUAUGUUUUGAUCUGCAUUUUUGUUUCUAGACUGCUGGAAAACAAAUAAUGUUGGGGCAGAUUUCUUUGUGCUUUUACUUUGUUGGACACUGGAACCAAUGGCCUUGACAUUUUUCUGAUUAAAAAAAGAGAAAAAAAUCUUAAAAAAAAAAAAAAAAUCUUAUUUUAUGUUUCAUUGUCUGUCUGCUGAUUUUUCAGCAAAUACACUGACUUGUGAAGAUAGGGAGUGAUUUUUGUUUUUUGUCCUGUUUUAUAUAUAUAUAAAUAUAUUCAAAAUGUGGUACAAUUUAUUUUUAACGAGGGGAUUCUAAAUUUUGGACUACUGAGAAAUCUUUUUCAAUAGUUUGUCAGACAACAGAAUUUUUGUUUUUAUUAUUGAUAUUAGAUUAUUUGUGUUUUGUGGGGGUUAUAUUUUCAGAGCUUUACUUUUCCUCAUUACUGUAUACUGUAUGUCAUGAUACACUGUUUGUGACCUCUGUGAUGUUUUGCUGUAUCUUUUUAUUUUGUUCCAGCUGUGUAGGAUUUAUAAUGAAAAAAAACACACAAAAAAAUCAACACAUUCGAUGAAUCUCUGUGUUUUUAUUUCUGUCUCUAUUUUUAAAAUUUCCAUUUUUAGCAAUUGAAUUUUGAUUUAAUUUUUCAAAUGACCAUUUAUUUCUAAAAGGUUCCUUAAACUUGAUUUUUAUUCAUUUUUUAGUCACAUUUUAGAGAUUUUAAUUAUUCUAUGUUUAUACUCUAAUGUUAGAAGCUCGGGUUUAGCAUAAAUCCCAUGUUAUUUAUGGGUUUCUUUUCUUCUGACUGCAUCAUCCCACCUUCUGUCAUCCUGCCUUAAAAUUAUGUCUGAAAAUCAGCUCCAUCAAUCAACCACUAAUUGCAUCAACAGCAGCUUUGUGCACGGAUCAGUAGCAAUUACUAAGAUGACUUAUAAAUUUCAGCUGUAAUCAUAAAUCAAAGUCUUUUGCCAAAAGUGGCCAUGAAUCAAGAGACGAAAAAAAAAAAAAAGUCAGAGUGUCCGAAGUGAGGAAUUCUUUGCCAUCUCCUUUAAUGCGUAACAUUUCGAUCUUCAACCUUGCUGCAGAAUCGUGUCCUUUUACGCAACGCAAUGCAUCUCCCCGACCUAUAGUAGAGGCAUGUUCACGGCACUCAUCCACCACACUGCUGGUUUCCAUUAGAAAAUUAAAAGUCUCC
Molecule: long non-coding RNA, 2542 nt
Filed under: Oryzias javanicus (javanese ricefish)
Lineage: Eukaryota; Metazoa; Chordata; Actinopteri; Beloniformes; Adrianichthyidae
Description: lncRNA (ENSOJAG00000021302.1)
Source: RNAcentral